This 440-nucleotide unclassified non-coding RNA is filed under the name Hevea brasiliensis (rubber tree). The record is from RNAcentral. Lineage: Eukaryota; Viridiplantae; Streptophyta; Magnoliopsida; Malpighiales; Euphorbiaceae.
GGAUUUUGAGUCAUAAUUCUAACAUAGGAAAAUGGGACCCGCUACUUUGUAAGUGAAAGUUCAUAUGCACCUAAUGCACCUAAUAAUUUGCCAGCUUUUUCUUCAUUCUGAUUUUGAUUUCUGUGACUUCUUCAUGGCAAACAUCUUUAGAAUUAGCUUGUCUUGUAGAUUGCUGCUGACAGAUAAAAGGAAUAUUUAAUUUAUACAGAAGUUUUAUUCUCAAUAAAGCGGUGACUAUAUUAUAAAUAAAUAAAUAAAUAACAAAGCAUCCAUACCAAUAAUCACAGAAUAUGAAAAGGUCCGACAAGCAAAAUAAAGGUACUGGCUUUAUAAUUUCUUUGAAGAAUGUAAUGCAGAUUAUUAACCCAGAGAAUAACUUAACGUAAAAUAACAAGUACGUAAUAGUACGCUACAUUAGCUAGGAGUCCCAUGAAUCUGUG